This 352-nucleotide ribosomal RNA is filed under the name uncultured bacterium. RNAcentral describes it as "bacterial SSU rRNA". It matches the Rfam family "Bacterial small subunit ribosomal RNA", at positions 46 to 343 of the family's 1533-position model. The record is from RNAcentral.
UCUAACACUGGCCGNCGUUUUAAAAGCCUAACACAUGCAAGUCGAACGGCAGCACAGGAGAGCUUGCUCUCUGGGUGGCGAGUGGCGGACGGGUGAGGAAUACAUCGGAAUCUACUUUCGUGGGGGAUAACGUAAGUGGAAACUUACUGCUAAUUACCGCAUACGACCUACGAGGUGAAAGCAGUGGUGAUCUUCUGAGGCCUUGCGCGAUUAGAAUGAGCCAGAUGUCAGAGAUUAGACUAAGUUAGGCGAGGGUAAAGGCCCACCAAGGGCAGACUGAAUCCGUAAGCUAGGUCUGAGAGGAUGAUCAAGCCACACUGGAACUGAUGACAACAGGUCCAAGACUCCUACG